Non-coding RNA from Ornithorhynchus anatinus (platypus), 105 nucleotides. RefSeq annotates it as microRNA mir-1421e. The record is from RefSeq and is marked provisional. The transcript has a single exon. NCBI's taxonomy places the organism in Eukaryota, Metazoa, Chordata, Mammalia, Monotremata, Ornithorhynchidae.
CUGGUCCCGUGUGGCACGGUGUGGAGAGGUCACGUCUCAUGCCGUGUGACGGUUUAAUAUGCUGCGUGGAGCAUGAUCUCCCUACACAGUGCCGCGUCUGUCCGG